Bombus impatiens (common eastern bumble bee) is the source of this 5085-nucleotide RNA transcript. RefSeq lists it as uncharacterized. The record is from RefSeq and is a predicted model, not a curated record. NCBI's taxonomy places the organism in Eukaryota, Metazoa, Arthropoda, Insecta, Hymenoptera, Apidae. The transcript has 2 exons.
AGCGCCACGCAAUUAAUGCAGAUUCCUGAUACGCGAUGUUCCAGUUCUACCAACCGACUGUAUACAUGAUUAAUGGCGAACUUCAUAGCCAGGUUGCUAUUAAUUCUCUCUUAUUAACCUGUUUGUUUGUUUGCGGAAGUACAUACAGUAAGUACUUUCUUCGCGAUCGAUAUUUAAAAAACUUCGAAUUCAGCAUUAACAAACUUCUAAAUGUAGAUUUUUGUUUUUAUUUAAAGUUGCAUUCAACUAUCGUGUUGUUAGCGAUUACUUUUUGGUUAAAACAAUGCACAUGUUUUCUGCUAAGGGCUCUAGUACUCUAAGGUCCAGUGACAUCUGCUAUCGACUCAAAGACACUGGUAGAUACUGCAAUUAUCUCGGUACUUACCAUAGAGAUUACACGCAGAAUGAAUAACAAUAAAUUUUGUGAACGGUUGAGGUAUUAUCUACACGAGGUAUGUAUGUGUGUAUGUACUUACAGUUUUAGAUGAAUUCCGAAUUACCAGAACCACGCUGAGAUAAACAAUACAACUACCACAGGGGUGGCAACUGAAAAUUCGCCUGCCGGUCACGAAUCAUAGAUCUGUUUCAGUUACUAAAUAUUAUAACCAGUACCACGCUUUAGGUAUUUCAUACAUUUUUAGACAUUAUCUAUACCUUGUAUUUAUCUACAUCUGUGAAAUUGUAACAUUUGUAAGAAUAUAUGCAUAAAUAUCUACUUCUAAGAUUUAGGAUGACCAUGAUGAACAGUUCGGAAGCAAGGUGCAAGAAAAUGUACGAUCGAUAUUGCUAUGCAUAUUGGCAGAAACUUUCUCUAAAGAAGUUUCUUUUUCAAGGUUAAUGACUCAACUGGGAAAGAAGGUAAAUCAGUUGCCUUACUAAUCUCGUAACACUAUUUAUAAUAUGGUAGAAAUCGCGCUUUAAUAAUGUAUUUUAUACGUUGCUCGUCAAUGGUAUUGUGUCAUUGAUCUUUUCUGGGAAACUGAGAUAUUCGAGCACCAGGUUUCGUUCGUGUCUCGAUCAUCACGGGGUUACCCAUUCCGAUCUGAUGAUUAACAUGAUAAAUCCAGUUACGUGAUUUCAAAAAAAUCUCAUCUAUUACGAGAUCUGUGAGAUGAGUAUUAUUUAAACUCGGUGAAAAGAGCGAGGUCACGAGAUGCACGACGAAACCGUGUCGUAUUUCAUGGAAAUCAUUUACAUGAAGACUAUUCGUUCUUGCACGCCUACAACGCGAAUAUCGAUACAUUUGAGAUCUAAAUUUACUAUUAAUUCAUGUCUGAUCGAUUAAUAUUUUUAACUAAUCUUCAAAGCUGGAACAAUGAUGCAUGAAAACUAAAUUGUUUUGUAUGAAAUGGUUAUUCGGUUGGUGUUUACGUUUCUAAGUUCAUUGAUUUCUGUCUGUACGAUGUAUUCCAGGAUUGGAAAUGAAGAAAGAGGCGCGGGGAAACCCGUUCGCUGCAAACAGAACGGAUCUUACCGGUGAUUCGAAUCAUUAUUUUUAGAAUUCUAAUUUGAAUAACAAAUUGAUAAUCGUUUCUUUUCAUUUUUUCUAUCAUUAAAAAGGCGGGAAUAAGCAAACGAAAGAAACGCAAACAAUUUUACUGUCAUUGAACAUACUUUGCAUUACAAAUUAAUGGAAAUCUCUUACUUUUCAAUCUGAUUAUUUUAAUUCGUGAUCCUACUAAUAUCAAGCAAUUAACCCGCAGGGAUAUAGAACGAAUCAAAUGAAAUUUAUUUUAACGAAGCGUUGAAAUUUUAUUUUUUCUUUUUUUUUUUUCAUUUUAGCAUCGAGUAUGAAUAAAGUUGUGCGUCUAUAGAUUUCGCGUUGAUUGUUACUCCGAUACUCUUCUUUAUGGCUAUUACACAAUAAACGAUAAUUGAAAUAUUAUAUGCAUGGAAUCACGUCGAUUUUAUCAUUUGCCAUAAUUUUAAAUUAGAUGUAUCCGUUUUAGGGAAUCACGAUAAUCGUUCGGGCCGAAGCUGUUAUUACAGGCAACAAUGGAGUUUCAAUUGCGUUAUCGUGGUACGCGAUUGUACGUAACACUCGUAUAGAAUUGCAGUUCUAUUGUAUUGCGUAUUGUAUCGCAAUGUACCAGGUCACGAAUUCAAACUAUCUAGUAUUGCACAGCGGUCAUCCAUCGUUUAUCCUGUCCGCAGGUUUAAGGCCGGAGUGCAUGAAGUGUAUUGCGUUAUUCCUAGUUAUGAUUCAAGAAAACUUGCGCGUACCAUUCAUGCGAAUAUCGCUAUAUCUUCAAUCUAUUCAUCUUACUAUUAAGCAACGAGGACGAUUAACUGAAAAUUUUGCCGGUCGUAGAAACGACAAAGAAUACGAAUUAAGCGAGAAAGACUACCGUGCCCAGUGAAUCGUGACAGUCAUACAUCGUCGACUCUGUGGAUUACAUAAAUACCACCUACACAUUCCACUGGUAUUACGUUGUCAAAAUCAAACGGGACCUCUCAGUGGUUUCUUGAACAAACUUCGAGGUCCAUGGCAGCCCAUAAAUCAUCCGGUAACAAUAUACUUCGAAGAAUCCGAAGAAGCCCUUUGCAGUGCAGUAAAAAUUCAACCGGACAACCUGGAAUCCCAUAAAUCUCCCACGACGCAUAUGUCCACGAGGACGUUCGCAUUUACUCUGUGUGCUUUAUCCAUGAAAGGAUUGCGCGGAUCUCAGCAGCGCGCCCUCUCGGUCGGAACGCGAAAUAGGAUCGUACACUCAAAUUCGUCGCUUCGAAGGGGUACUUCUUGCGCGGGUAUUUUUGGAAAAAACAUACCUUGUUGACAGUUCGUUGGCACGAAGGCGUAGCCGAGAAUUAGAAACGUCAGAAUCAUGUUGACGAAACGGUUAUCGUUCGUUUUGUGUCUCGACAUCCUCUCCUGGUCACUUGUUCACACCGCGCACUUUUUCGUAUCGGCACGAUUUCGAGGCAGUUCGCCCGACUGUCAGUGCAACACUGUCAUCGUAACAACGCUGAAAUUCGCCAACCUUUUUCGUCACGUUGUGUCUGUGCCCGUUGAUUUAUCGAGCAACGACGAGCGGGCACAUCCUCGCAGAAGAAAAGAGACGAGUUCGCGAGCACGGCGCGUUUGUCACUGGCCACGGGUAGAAAGCAAAAUCCUACUUUCACUUGGUGGCUGCGAGCCUCGCGAGGCGGAGCUGGCACGUCGAGGCCAUCGCGAUCUUUCCCUCUCCUUUCUGUUCUGUGACUUCUCCUCUGCCUCUUUUCUCGUGUACACGUCUUUGUGACGAUCAACGAGAGGGAGCCGAUACUUAGAAAAACCGCGGAGACGGGUUUUAGGAAAAAUUUGAGAACGUCCGGGUACGACCUUUCUUGUAUCUUCGUGAAGGUCGCCAGUGAGGAUCAACGAUCUUUCGCAACGAUUUUAGAACCGGGAGGCAGUGUUUUCGACGCCGAGCCGAGCCCCUCAAGUCGAGGCUCUUUUGCAUCCUACGAAUAAAAGAGAUCCUUAUAAAACGAAUUAUUUUGUUCUGUAGAUAAUCUUGAUCUCUUUUCUUUCACGGAUAUAACGAAAUUAGUGAAAAGAUACAGUUUUUGAAUAAUCAUUAAUCACAAAGUUGCAUUGAUAUUAUUUUUCUGUUUAUUAUUAUUAUUAUAUAUUUUUUGUAAUUUUUCCAUAUUUUCAUUAGCUAGAAAAUAAUGGAAUCCUAAUAUCCGAAUUCUAUGUUUUAUAUUUUAGACGAAUACGUUACAUAAGGAUCCUCUAGUUUCGUUGAUGUUGUGUAACUUCAAAGUUACAUAUCUAUAUGUGCGUAUUCCGAUAAUUUUAUCUACCUAGAUUAAAGCAGAAAGCUGCAAUCGAUAUACAAUGUUCUUUCUAGAACUCUGAUCAUAGAUGGUAGUAAUUCUGUUCUACAAUGUGGAAUAUUACACAGUCAGUUUAUCGUACCAAUCACUGCUAACUCUAAAAACAUGUUAGUAUUUGUUUUAUCACGCCAUUUUAAUUCAUCGUUGAAGAAUUAAAAAGUCCUACAUUUAUCGGUAUCUAAUUCCAGAAACAUUUUAACGUAUUUCGUGUGAUACACGUCGAUGUCCGCUUAUUAUGCGUCUGAUAAAGCCCAACUUUGCAUGCAAGCUAUAUAUAGCGUGUGUUUAGUAUCCUUAUUUCGGUUCCAUCUAUCGUUUUUUAGAGGCUGGAAAGAAUGCAGCCGAAGAAUGCCAUAACACGGCCGCGUCCUUCGGUAGGACCUUCGUAAGCAUUUUUUCGACGUCGAUUUUAUCCUGUCGGGAUACGUUCGUUAACCCUUACCGAGUACAGGCGACCUUUGCGAAUCGACGUAUCGUCGAUUCCGAACUGAUCCACAUCCGGCCAGAAACCAAACGGGCACGAAAGGAAAAAGACGAGCAAGGUCGGCACAGCCGGGGAAAGUAUUAUCAUGACGCAACGAGAUUGAAGAUGAUGUUCUAUAAUAGCUUCUAAAUUACUACUUCAACGGCAUAGGGGAUUAGUAUGCCUUCACGUGCUUUACGUCACGUAUGGUUGGUUUUUGUAUUAUUUUUUAAUUUCUUGUGAUCGACUUCGUGCGAUUAUUCUAACGAGAAAAAGAUCUUCUAUUUCUCUCUCUCUCUCUUUUGAGCAUGUAGCAUGUUUAGAUGUGUAUAUGCAAGUAUAUAUAUCGAAUAAAAUUACCGCAUAUAUGUAUAUGUAAAAUUCACAUAUGUGAUAGUGCUGCUAUCUAAAUAAUUGUGCGAAUUUGUACUGAGUAGUACAAGGUUAUUGGUAUUAAUGUGAUUCAAAGAAUUUUAUCCUCGAUGCAAUUGUAAGUGCGUGUUGCUUUGCUCAAAUAAUUGAAAGUCGUAUGAAGUUUAUAUGAAUAAUAAUUGAAAUAUAAUAACUUUUGAUAUCUCGCACUAUUCUCUCGAUAAUUCACAAGAAAGCUCUGUAUUUUCUUCUAGAGAUGACUCAAUCCCUACAAUUUGCAUUAUCGUAGCAAUAAAAAGUAAGUUUGUAUUAUGAAUGAUCUAUACCACUUGCAUACGAACGAUUCAUGACUUUUUGAAUUUCCAAAUUAAUCGUUUAAACGUUCACGUUUCUGGAAUAUUUAUUUUUAAGAAUUUUAUAUACAGAUA